AGGGAAGGGGACGAGGGUUGGG
This 22-nucleotide microRNA is filed under the name Homo sapiens (human). RNAcentral describes it as "hsa-miR-5196-5p". The record is from miRBase by way of RNAcentral. Lineage: Eukaryota; Metazoa; Chordata; Mammalia; Primates; Hominidae.